GGAGUGAGUGGUGGCAAUAGGGUGAGAAUGGGGUGACACUAUGGGGACAAUAGGGUGACACUGUGAUGAUAUGGUAACAAUGGGGUGGCAAUGGGGUGACAAUGGGGGGACAGUGGGGUGACACUAUGGGGACAGUGGGGUGAUUGGUGACAAUGGGGGGGCAAUGGGGUGACACUAUGGGGACAAUGGGGUGAGUGGUGACAAUGGGGUGGCAAUGGAGUGACACUAUGGGGACAAUGGGGUGAUGUGGUGACAAUGGGGUGGCAAUGGGGUGACACUAUGGGGACAAUGGGUGGGGUGAGUGGUGACAAUGGGGUGACAAUGGGGUGACAAAGGGGUGACAAAGGGGUGACGCUAUGAGGCAAUAGAGGGACAAUGGAGUGACAGUGGGGUGAUGUGGUGACAGUGGGGUGACAAUGGGGUGAGUGGUGGCAAUGGGGUGACAAUGGGGUGACACUAUGGGGACAAUGGGGUGA
This 476-nucleotide long non-coding RNA is filed under the name Gallus gallus (chicken). RNAcentral describes it as "lncRNA (ENSGALG00010002188.1)". The record is from RNAcentral. Lineage: Eukaryota; Metazoa; Chordata; Aves; Galliformes; Phasianidae.